AAUGGGGACACCGGACCAGGUCACUUUGACAGGUCCUUCUGAAUCAGACCACCUAGGACCCCUGAUGUAAGAAGGAGGCUCUGAAAUCAGUAAUAGCAUGUCAGCUCACUUCGGGAUCCAGUGAGUAGUCAAGCCCUGGCCACUGCCAUACAGGACCUCAAAGCCUGAAACCCCUCACUAAGGAGCACAGGGCGGGAGACUCGGAUGGGGUAACCCUGCCUUACUCUGUUCCCUGCUGUAGGAAUUCAGGGGAGCAAGUGGGUACAAGUGCCAAGGAAAGGAAGACGCACCGAUGACAGAGAAACCGAGACUCAGGCCGCUCAUGUGGAAGGAGGCAUUGCUGAGGUUCAAACCCUCAUCUGGGGCUCCUGGGCUCCAGUUCUGUCUGGGAGAGGAAGCAGGAGCCCUAGCCCCACCUCAGCAGGGAGCAUCAACCCUGUGCAAGAAAUGGGUUGCUGUUGCUAAACCAGUCCAAGCCCACGCCAGGCAGGCAGACAGAAGUCUCUAGAGUAGCUGGCACUACCACAUCUCCUAGGCUGGGGCAAGAGAAGGUUCCAGAAAAGCCCUCGAGCCCUCCAGAUGCCUGAUGUCGUCACCCAGGAAAACCAUAUGUCUAAAAAGACCCCAGACCAUGGCCACCGUGUGGAGAAAGACCGCAGUACCUCCAUUUACUCAGGUCUGGGAUGGUUGCUCUGACUUGAAUGUAACCCUGCUCUUUACUGUGCCUUAGGGACUGCCUUGAUUGCCCAUCUUGGCUGUUUGUGAGUUCUGCCCAGUCCUCCUACACAUCAGGCAUCCUCUCAGUAUGUGCCACAGGACCGAGUGGCAUCAUAGCUCAUGUCCCUCUGUGGACCCCUCCCUCCCUGUGGUUGGAUCUAGGCCCCCAUAACCAUCUCUUGACCCGUUCUUCUCCCUAUGACUAACUUAAAGUCAAUCUCUAGAUCUCUGUGGGCUGCCUAGGGUGACUACCAGAUGAGAUGUCUCACCCUCGCCCUUGGCCACAGUGUACAAAAGGCCUUGGCGGGCUGGGAAGACACCUCCCUGUUCUGUUCCCUCACGCCAAACACUGCCGCUCUUCAUCCCCCAGGCAGCUGGCCAGCACUGGAAGAGCUCCCUCUUUCCCUCCCAGAGCCUGUUUGCUUUUGGCCCAUUGCAGUGCUCUGGUCCCCCUGGGAGCACCCACCCUUCUGGCCUAGGAUUUUGCCAGGAGGGACAAUGAUCAGUAAACAGAGAAGGCAGUUAUGAAACCCAGUGAGACCAGACAGGACCCACACACGUUCCGGCUGGCCCCCACAGACUUGAAGACACCUGCAGUCAAGGCCUCAGUUUCCUCAUUUUUAAAAUGGAACGGAGUUUAAAGUGGCAGUCUCCUGGAACAGCAGAGGACUCCAAGGCCUGACACACAGCAUCUCCCAAAGGGUCCCUGGAUGGCCCGCUUCUUCUCUCAGAGGCCUGAGCCCAGCGCAUUCACACCUACCGAAUGGCAGCAGCCUGGAGCAGCAGGGGUGAGACUACAGAUUCAAAUGGGACUUGGGCUCAGGUUGGGCUGUGCAGUCUAGAGUGGGUUAUUUUCCUUUCUGGGCCUCCAGGCACUCAUUUGUAAAUAGGGACAGUAACACCCACCUGUAGAACUAUGGGAGUAAGCCGAAGGACUGCCAGUAGUAAUGGCCACUGGCCUUCCAUCUCUUUGUAGAUAACACCAAGCAGAAAAAAGUGAUGUCUCCAGGCCAAUGAGCCAGUGUCCACAGCCUAGACUUAGAACUCAGGUCUGUGGGCAACCAGGCCAGAGUCAAGGCCUGGGUCUCAUGGAGCAGGGUUCCCUGACAUGGCCAACUGGGCUUCUGCCCUGGCCAAGUCUAUUCUGGGUGUGGACAGCUAUUGGGAAUAUGGCCAGUGGGUCUUGGUUGAAUCUAUCUCAGGGACUGAAGCCACUGACCCUCUCCCAGCUCCCAGAGCCAGCCCCACCUAGUGUUGUGAGGACAUUCUGAGGAGGCCUGGCCCUACCACCUCCUGGCUCUGUGCCCUGGAAGCAACAAGAUUUGGCCAUGCAUGAGUAGCAUCAGUCUUUCCUCCCCUGAGGCAGACACUCUAGCCCUGGGAAACUUGGGAUUGCUGAGAACUGAGCCCUAGCCCCUCAUCCUGCCCCCCACCCUAGAACUGUGUAGCAACCCCUGAGGAGCCCAGACACAAACAUAGGUUAAUGGCAGGAUGAAGGGGCCUAAGCACAGGCUUGGUGACUGGGGCAAGGGUCAGCAGGAGAUUGGGUGGGGUGCAGACAGAAGGCAGGGUCUGCGAUGCCCCCGCCAGAGCAGGAAGGGGCAGAAACGCUGCUGCAGGCAGCUCUUCAGAGGAAAGACGUGGCCAAGUGACCAGCAAAGUGGGGGAAUAAGGUCUACCCCUCAACUAGCUGACAGCUCUGAGCAAGUCACCUUGGCGCCAGAGCCUCAGUUUCCCUAUCUGUAGGUAGGAAUUGCAAUAUCUUCUUCCCAUGAAGGGUGCAAGAAUUUAAUAAGGGAACAGCUGCCCUUGCAGAGGACCUCAGUUUGGUUUCCAGCACCCAUAUCAGAUGACUCACAACCACCUGUAACUCCUGCCCUAGAGGAUCUGACGCCCUCUUCUGGCCUGCACAGUUACCUGCACUUACAUAAAACACACACACACACACACACACACACACACACACACACACCCCUUAAAAAUGAAAAAGAGUAAACCAUUAAGAACUGUAACCAGGUGAAAUACACCAAGGCUCAGCAUAGCCUGAUGCAGGUGAGACCUGUAAAGAGAAAGCUGCGAUUUUUGCUGGGUCAGCUGCUUGGCUGAGUUUCUGUCUCUCUAAUCUUCUUGUGUGUAAAUUAGAGGCCAAAAGGCCUUUCCCUGCCGAGUGUGAUGGUGUGUACCUGUAACGCCAGUGCUCUGAAGAGAGAAGCAACUUUGAGGUCAGCCCGGUUUGCAUAAUAAGUUGCAUAAUAAGCUCACCCAGGGCUAGCUAGCAAGACCGGAUUUCAAAACAAACAAAAUGUGUGUGUGUGUGUGUGUGUGUGUGUGUGUGUGUGUGAGAGAGAGAGAGAGGGGGGGGGGCAGGCAGGCAGACAGGCAGACAGUGUUUUUCAUAAUAAAAUAAAUGUUUAAAUAUAUACUGGUUUAUAAAAGCGAGCUGUCUAAGAGACAUCUGCAUGUCCAUGUUCAUAGCAGUACUGCCCACAACAGUUACAACAGGGAAGCAAGCCAGCUGUUCAUUAAUAAAUGAGUACACAAUCAACAAACACAUUCAAACGGAGGAACAGUUUAAAAAGAUCACACUCUGCUAUAGAUGAACCUCAAGGACACCAUGCCAGUCACAAAACAGCAAAUACUGUGAGUCUACUUCCCUGAAGUUCUGAGGAGCAUCAGAUGUGUAGGAACAUACAGUAAAGUGAUAGUUGUAAGUGGAAGGGAAACGUAGGCUAUUGUCCAAAGAGGACAGAGCUUCAGUUUGAUGAACCAGCCUGCCUCCAUCUUGGGCGUUAAAGCCAUCUUACAGUAAAGAUAAACUAGGUCCAUUCCUGUUUAUGAUUAAAUCUGUUUCUCAAGGAUUGGGCUAUGCCCCACCUGUAACCUUAUAACUACAAAUUGUUCUGUACUGCCUGUUCCAGGAAUGGCAACCAUGUUUUUGUUUCAAAAGUUGUAACCAUCUUGCAAACCUACCUUUGUUUCAAAAGGUUGUUAAGACUACCUGCUGUUAUGGCUACCUUGUUAGGACCACCUUGCAAUCAUGUCUUUGUUUCAGAUGUUAUGACUAACUUGUGUUGUAGAACAUGAUUUUAAGGUGUGUUGCUUUUGUCUAUGUUUCAUCUGUUUAACUCUGUGAAGCUGUGUUACUGUGUCUGUCUAAAACACCUGAUGGUCUAAUAAAGCACUGAACAGUCAAUAGCAAGGCAGGAGAAAGGAUAGGCAGGGCUGGCAGGCAGAGAGAAUAAAUAGAAGGAAAAAUAGAAGGGAGGAAGAAGAAGGAACAAGAGAAGGAGGAGGAGGACUCCAAGGAGCAGCCACCCAGCCACCCAGCCACCCAGCCACCCAGCCACACAGCCACACAGCCACACAGCCACACAGCCACACAGCCACACAGCCACACAGCCACACAGCCACACAGCCAGCCAUGGAGUAGGAGUACGAGUAAGAUUUAUGGAAGUAAGAGAAUGGGAAAAGUCUAGAGGCAAAAAGUAGACGGGAUAAUUUAAGAAAAGCUGGCAAGAAACAAGUCAAGCUAAGGCUGGGAAUUCAUAACUAAGAAUAAAACUCCAUGUGUGUGAAUUAUUUGGGAGCUGAGUGGUGGGCCCCCCACAAAAGAGCCAAAAAACAACCAACAACAAACUUGUUAUGCUCCUGUAACCCUGCCGAAUUUUGCCCUCCAGAUUUCCUCCCCCCCCAACACCACUGCCCCCACCCCGUUUGCAAACUCCCUAACUCUAGGCUAUAAACACUUUGUCUUCCUCAUGUCCAGUGCUGAUCUCUUGAACCCCGUUUUUAGAGAGAGGUAGCUCAUGUACAUGAAUAAAAAAGCUUGCUUCUUUAAUUAACUUGGCCAUGAUGAUUUGGGGCAGUGGUCUUUCUCCUCACCCCUUUGGGUUUAAAAAGUUCUGCAUGAUGGGAAGUUCUGGGGAUGGGCAGUGGUGACCAGUGCAAGACAUAUGAUGUAUUAACACCAUGGAACCAUGUGUUUAAAAUGUUCUCGAUGCUAAGUUUCAUGUUAUGUCAACUUUGCCACAAUAAAAACAACGGGGAACAUCUGCUCAUCCGCUCGUCUUUUUCUGAGAGACAGUGAGCUGUCCUGUGGGGAUCCAGUCAAGAGGACUCAUGUUACAGGAGUGUCCAGCCCGGACGGUUUAGGCCUUGGGACACAGAUAAGAAAGAAAAAAGGGAACAUUGUGGAAACAAAGGUCCUUCGUUUAGCUGAGGAAGUGAGAUUUCCAUUGUCAACUACCUGAUGCUGAAGAGAGUAGUAGCCCAGAGCCACUGACAGCAGAGAGAGGCCGUCAACAUAUCAUGCACACCGAGGUGGGCAAGCAGAGUCAUUGGGAGAGUUUAGAAAGAGCACAAACUCCCAGGCACAGCCCCAGCCUUGGAAUGUGUAGAUCUGGGCGGGGUCCUGGAACUCAAUUCUAAGGGUCAGCUACCAAUGGGAACCACAUGGCAAAACCACAGUUGGGGAAACUGAGGCUAAGCAGGAGAGGGGGUCUGUCGGGUCUGGUUGAUCAAACAGCAGGACAGCUGAACUAACUGGUCCCUUUCCUGUUUUCUUCUCUCCUUUCCCUCCCAGGGCGGGCCUCCCCUGCCAUCAGCUGUGACUCAGACUCUGAGUCAUCCUGUGGCACCACAGAAGGAACUUCUUAAGAAAAACAAUCCCUAACACAGAGCUCCCCGGAUCUUGGGAACAGGAUAGGCCCAGUGGGCUGGGAGGAGGAGAGAGAGGUCAGGGCGGUGUGGGAGGCCAGGGCUCCCCAAACCUGACUGCUCUUAGCCACUGAUGUGUGCAGUGCACUGUACAAGGAGCCUCAGUGUCCUCACCUGCAAAUAAAACCUCCUUCUGCAUACAGAAGCUCCAUAUUCAA
This is a long non-coding RNA of Peromyscus californicus insignis, 5591 nucleotides long. RefSeq lists it as uncharacterized. The transcript is spliced from 2 exons. The record is from RefSeq and is a predicted model, not a curated record. Lineage: Eukaryota; Metazoa; Chordata; Mammalia; Rodentia; Cricetidae.